Molecule: long non-coding RNA, 7478 nt
Organism: Solea senegalensis (Senegalese sole)
Lineage: Eukaryota; Metazoa; Chordata; Actinopteri; Pleuronectiformes; Soleidae
Exons: 4
Source: RefSeq, a predicted model, not a curated record
GUGAGCAGCUUCCAGGUGGUGAGCUAAAGUGGCAAACAUAUUCAGUUUCACAGCCUCACUUCAAUAAAACCGAACCAUACCUUAAAUUAGCCCCUAGAAUGAAUAGCAUUUAGCUCUGCUGCUAUUCUGAGAAAUGUCUACCAAGCAUAAUCUCAUGGAGGUCAGUAAAGUUGAUGUGCAGUUCAGGGCAAUGUCCUUGUCAUUAGCCGCCCGCCGUCACCCCCUUAGCCUUCCUCCAUGGCAACUCAGACAGACAAACAGGAAGCAGCUGUUACCAGGGAAACAGCCAGACGGUCUGAAGUGUUACAGUGUGGCAGCGAGCCGGAGUGAGGAACGAAAAAGGGAGAGAAAUGUGGAGGGGGAAAGGAUUGCUGCUGCUGUGGUGGUGGAAUCUAAUUAGACUGUGACAAUGGAUAAAAAGGGGAUAUUUCCAGCUCGCGUUGACAGAGUGAGAAAAUGUGUGUUCUGCGUGUGCCUGCAUGUGGUUACACACUCUCAUUUGCGCAGAUACUGUACCUGCGUGUGAGCCUGGGAAUAGGCUGACUGACGCACAGAAUGACAGACAAGCUUUGGAGUCCUGGCAACACUGCUAUUUCUCACUCCCAUAGUCCUCUGCUUCCUCUUCCUCUGCCUCCUUCUCCUCGCUCACACACCCCCACACCUCUGUCUCAUCUUCUCUCCCCCUCGCUGCCAUUUCUCCUCCACGUCUCUCCUCUGGCAGUGAUUGCAUAUGGAUUGCCACAUAAUCCGAUUCGCUGAGAAUAGUUUUGCCUCCACAGGCCUCUCAUUUCCUCGGCAAUGUGAAUUUGGAUCAGUUAUCCACGUGAAUUAGCAAGGCGACGCCUUCAUUAUUAUAUUAGCUUUCAGACAAGGCUCACCGAGGAGAUUAGUUUCAUGGAGGCUGACACGGCCCUCACCUGUGAAACGGUGUUACAAAGUGGAAAGUCUGGUUUUUGGAUCAACAUUAAAGAACUGCUCCCCUGGGCUUUGCUCAGCGGUGGCAUGAAAUGCAAACCUCUCUGAGCUAUCGUUGUAAGGCCACCUGACUUUGAUCUUGCGCGGCGAAAAACAAACAGGCAUCUUUCAAGAGGUAACCACUUUAAAGCUUUCCGUGGUUGAGAAAACACACAUACACACACACACGUGUGCGGGACAGCAAACAAUAGAACAGGCAAACAGCGCAGCCUGGAAUGGCGAAUUAAAUACAAACUGUCUCAUCUGAUGCCAUAUCACCUUUGUGUCAUGUAUUCAUUUCAUUUAACUAUUAACUAUCACUGUUGAACAAUAGCCUAAGAGAUGCUUCAGUCAGAUUAUUUGUUUUCUUGCCUGAACUCAGUGCUCUAAGUUCACACAGCUGGCAAAUAACCUUUUUCCCUGUCUUUCUAUUUUUCCAUUUUUCUGUCAAGUUUUCACUCCGCUUGUCCCGGUCAGCGCCGCCAAAGCUUUUACAGUGGAAUUACAAGAAAGGCCCGGGCAGCAGCAGCUCUUGUGACAGGAUGCCAAGGCUGAUGCGCUCUCGCCGUGCCGUGAGCGGAGGCAGAUGACCACACGGGCGUCAGACCACCUCAGUGAUGAUGUGAGACCACCAGAGAUGUUAAAGAGAAGAAGUUCAACGUCAAGAAGGGAGAGGGGCGAUGGUGUGACUGAAAAGCAGCCGUGCAGAAAGGGGUUCAGACGGGACAGGCGCAGCUUUUCAUGUUGACACUGCUCAAUCUCCUCUCUCACCACAAGGCUGUAACAGAUGCUCCCCAGUGGAGGAUCAGGGGAAGUAACGUUCUCGCCCACAUGGUUGUCACUCAAGUGGAUGUCACUGCUCUGGAGAUAAAUGGCAUCACAUGAAAAAAAAAUCCCUAAACAUCCUUGUCGCAGCCUCUCCAGGCUGCAGCUGCCAGCGUCUAAUGGCUUCCAGAUCCAUCUCCUCUUCCCUCUGUUCGCGCUCCACAUCUUGCUGUUUUUCUGCAGCAUUUCAGAUGAAUGGGCCAAAGUGGAAGUGGAAAUCCGCUGUACUUCAGCCAGUGAGUCAGCCAGCAAAGCACUCAUUUGAAGAGAAAACCACAAGCAGGAUAAGUAAUGGAUUUUGUUUUUCAUAAAUCACUGUAAAGGUUGUUCGUUUUUUUUUAACAUAUAGUACGGCGGAAGGUCUUUGAUGAGUGAGUUAGUUAAAAAUGUGUGUGUUUAUGCACAAGGGAGCACAUUCACAGAAGCGCUGUAGAUCUUAUUUACCUUUACUGGAAACUGAAGGAAGCUUGUGUAAUGGCUGUGUGACUGGAUUUGUGCUUUUAACUUAAUACACGCACGUCUGUGUGUGUGUGUGUGUGUCUCAGCCUGCCUUUCGGAACACAUUUCUGGCUAAAAACAGGUAAAUAAGAACAAAGUUCAUGUCCACAUUUAGGUAGGAGUCGGGUCAUUGGUUAAAUUUACUGUUAGGAAAGAUGUGGUUAGUGUCGGAGUAUGACUCCAAGAAAUACACUGAAGUCUAUGUAAUAACUCCAUAAAUGAACUAUGAUGUAUGCAUAUGUGUGUACGUGUCAAUGGGCCUGAGGUGAGUUGUGUGUCUCACACACACACACACACACAGACACACACACAGACAGACAGAGAGAGAAUUAUUUCAAGCAUUUUCCACUGAACUCAAUUUUCAUUUUUUUCACUUUCAGUUAUUUUAGGUAAUAUUUGUGUAUAAAGGGGAUUUUUAUGACUGAUUAUUGUAUCAUUGUUAAGCACACAUGUACAGAUAGAGUGGGUUGAGCACCUGUUGCAUGUGUGUGUUAAUGAAAAGUCUCAGAUGUUAACGCUAAUAAGGCCAAUAUGUCACAAAUGGACAGUCUGUACACAGACAUGAGACAAACACACCGAACCAUGUGCCACAUUUGCAGGCGAUAAGGCGGUUUUUCCACAAGAGUAAACACUGUCUUAUAUCAAGGGCUCAAAGGCAUUUUAAUGGUAACAACCGUCUUUGUGAAGCAGGCUGGUUUCUACGACUGUUUUGAUUACUCACUCUUAGUCAUCAGAAGCAGCAGCAGCAGCAGCAGCAGCAGCAGCAGCAGCAUGAAGGCCUCAUGUGCCACAUACCACAACAGCUGCACAGACACAAAGAGCCCAGUAAGACUGAGGCCUAUCAAUCAAAUGAGGUCACUGUGGUCCAACAGAGGGGAGAGUGGGGUGGCCGCCUUUUUGUUGAGCGUUGUUGUGUUGUUGCGGGGGGGGGGUGACAUCAUCUUGUGUGAAGUCUGUCAUUAAAGCGUGAUAAAUAACUCGUGUGUGUGUGUGUUGAACAGUGAAGCGAGAGAGAGGCUUGGCCCCUGGAGCUUAACGACCACUGAUAGAGGGUUCCAGGGUGUUAUUGUGCGGUGUGCAGGGGGGGCCCUCUGGGGAGAGUCCCUGACCACAAAACGAUGUUGAUGAUCACUUAGUGAAACAGAGUACUUUCAGGACGAACGAGCGGUUGCACAAAAGAGCUGACAUAAAAAAAGAAAUAGGAGAAGAAAGUAGAGCAAUAAAAAUCUGCGGUUGACUCGAUGAGAAUUUAAGCACUUUCCAUUAAAAGCGCUGUAAAAGCUGCCAUAUUUGAGCACCGUCAUCACUUUACAGGCAUUCAUCAGCAGGUUAAUGUCACACAAGAUGAAGUUAGCGAGUUAUACGAUUUCAGCCAGUUUGCAGAUAUCAGCUGACUCAUCCCACCCUCUGUAUUUGACCUGCUCACUUCAACACACUCACACAGUCUCACACACACACACACACGCUGACAAGAACAAACCCAAGUGAUAAACUGAAGGUUGAGUCCGACAGCAGCAGUUCAAGUUGUUGCGUGCUUAUUGUUGUUUUAUUUUAUUUUUUUAAUGCUGCAGGUCUUAACUUGUUAUUUCCUCAUGCUUCACACAGGAGGAGAGCAGACAGCGGCGACUCUGGCUUUAAUGUUCAGUCAGAGACACUUGUCAAAGUAUGACACGGCAAUCUGCGACGGAGGUAUUCAGGCUCCACGUUGUGAUGCCAAGGGGGGGGGAGCGCCGGUAGAAAAGAAAAAGUGAUGACUCACCAAACUUCCCAAAAUCCCCCUCCCUUCCCCCAUCCUGGUUUACGGGAAAUGGAAUGCUGUUUUUCUCUCCCUCUCUCUCUCUCCCUCUCUCUCCCUCGUCUCAAACGUUCAUCUUCUUGACAGGCAGCAAGGUCAGGGCCUGGGUUAAUGUUUGUCUGUGGGAUUGUUUCAUUGCUCUCUGUAGGGGCCAAUCCGGCAAUCGGGUUUAAUUAUAUGAGGCGGCGAUUUUGAAAGUUUGUUAGCCGUGUGUGGGAGGACAUGAAUUGAUGGAGCGCUCACUUGUGAAACAGAUAAGCCUUUGUUCCGACCCUUACCACGUCUUUUAUACUAAUGAUUUACACUGGUGAGUUUUGGGAUUUGCCAACUGCCAAUUUAAGUCACUGUUAAUCUCCCAGGGAUUGGGGGGGGGCGGGGUUGUCACUUACAAGUAGCUGUUUGGUGUAAUGUUUCCUGAUGAGAGUUUAAUAAACCACACAUUGUCAAACCAUUUUGGGGGAUUUUUAUAAGCUGUUGAGUUUGGCCUGCGCACUAUUUACAGACAACUCAUGGGCUCCUUCAGGGAGAAACAAACCAUCGAGAGUGUUUAUGUGCAUGUCUGAGAGCGGGGACCAAAUAAAAGAAACAGCCCAGUAAUUAAAUCGACUACAUUAUACGCUCAGUGUGAAACUUGAUACUGUACGUUGCAUAAUUAACUUAGUAGAGCAACAUCCUAUGGUCUUCAUCAGGUAAUGAAGUCGUAGACACUCUCUCGCCAUAUGAACCAAUUGUAAACACUCUUGUCAUUGUUCUUUUGUAUGUUUAUUUCAUUUAUAUUGUAGUAUUUGCAGGCAGGUGACAGAGUCGUUGUAAGGUGUUCCCUGGUGGUCAUUAGAGUGUGGUUGCUCAAUCCAGAUCUUCAUCAAAACCUGGUGUUUUUCGAUUGGAGCUUGUUGUUGCUACUUGUAGCGAAAGGGGAUUUUGAAAAUCAUAACAGGCAGGAAGCUGAGGGGGAGGAGAAUGUCUCAUGGGACAUGCAGCCAAUGGCACACAGACUACAACCUGUGAGUCAGAUGAGAUGUUCACUGAUAUUGUCCCUUUCUCUUGACCAGGGUCCUCAAGCGAUGGGCUCCUGCCUUCAGAUGUACAGACGUCGCCUUAAGGUAUUACACGGUUUGUGAGCACCUUCCAUACCGGGCUCUGCAGCGGCAGCAUCCUCCAUCACUUCAAUACUGUCUUCCUGAAUGCUGUCAUAGUGGUGAACUGCCACACACUGCCAUGCUGUUACCUCACAUAAUAUGACCUUCUGACACCGCCCCCAUGUGCUGCUAUUGAUUUAUAUACUGCUGACUGUUUGAAAUAGUCAUUUGAAUGGUUUUAUAUAAUUAUUUGUUAUUUUACCAAGACCUGAGUACUGCAUUUCAUCCUUUUUUUUACAUGUUUUUUUGAAUCUUGACUCCUCUGUGUCUUAUAAUUGACUAAGCUGUGCAAAUGAUGCUCAAAGUCCUUGAAAAAGAACCUUGUUUGUAACAUACAAACAUCUCAUGGCGACUUAUUUACAAAAGUAUUAGAAGCCAAACUGCCGCUGCUGAUGAUCUAAGUACUCCCUCAUAACACUAAGACUGGGUGGUGUUUGUAUUUGUUAACUUUAACUAAUAAUUCAAGCCCACAAUCCAGAUUAGCUACUCGCUCAGCAGCAUGUAUAACCCUGUUUACCUUCUGAAACAAAAUCGUGCUCAUUAUUUUAAGUGAAAAGAUGAAAAAUUAUGUUUAAUUCAAAUGUUUUAUGGAACAAAUGAUAAAAAUCACAUUUGAUCAUCUUAAUUCAUCAAUUGUUUGACAUAUCAUUUCACAAGUUUUACAUGUAAUGGUGUUUUUAUCUUUUUAUCUAACUGUGGAAUGACAAAGUAAAACAUGUUUUUUCUUUACUUUAUAAUCUAAAUGAAUAAUUAUAAUUAGUCAAUAGCGAAUGUCAGUUAUACUUUCGCCAAACUGCCAGACAGAUCUCUUUUCUUUUUCUUUUUCUUUUUAAGCAUGUUAGUAUUUCAUCAGCAUCACAAUCCAGUGUGUUUAUGGGGAAGUUAUCCCACAUAUAACAGUAACAGUGGCGUAACUGUGAGCUGGGAGUGGGAGUGUGAGCAUCUGUCUCUUUGUGGUUAGGGACAGCCGCUGCUCGAGGUUCUGAACAGACGAAUCCACUCUGACCUUAACAGUUGAAAGGUCAUUGGAGUUAUUGCUUCAGCAGGGCUCUAAUCCUACAUGACAACUCCCUUUUCAAACACCUUUCAAACUCAACCUUUAUUCACUCUUCUCCUAUAAUUAUCUCCCAAACCGCAGGUGCUAUCACUUCUUCUCUUUGUAGCAGUAGUGUGUGACCACCACAUAGCUCUUGCCGUGUGUUUACCUUGUGAUAGCCAUCUCCUCUUCAAAGGUCUGUGAAUCUGUGCUCCGGGUCUGGCUCAGCUUCUCACUCAGCGGCUGCAGUUUUGGGAGAUCAGAGACACGACAAGUUCAACGCGGGUUUGCGCGGGAUGAUGGAUCCUGAAGAAAUGAGACAACGUGUGGGGUCAGCAACUUUCACUCUUUCAGGUCAUCAACCAUACCAUCGGCCCUGCCAUCACUGUAUGUGUGUGUGUGACACAUCCAUAACUAUUGGUGUUGUCUGAAGAGAUCAGUCUCAGCAGAACAGUCCACAUUGACUUUGUGCUGACGGUGCUGAACAGAGAUGGCUUAGCAACAAGUGUCCGACGAGCACAAUGCAUGUACACUCGCGGACCACUUUACUAAGUACACCUGUUUUCACGGGGUUGUUAAUGCAUGGAAAAAAACGUGAAAUGAGUGACGUGACUUUGAACAUGGCGUGGUUGUUGGUGCCACACAAGCUGGUCACAAAAAACUGUUGAUCUACUUGGAUUUUAACACACAACCACCUCCCUUGUUUAAAGAGAAUGGUCUGAAAAAGAAAAAGGAUUUAGUGAGCAACAGUUAUCAUCAUGUAAAAAAUGUUUUAUUAAUGACAGAAGUCAGAGGAGAAUAGACUAAUUUGAGAUAAUACAAAGAAACAGUUACUCAAAUAACAGCUUAUGACAACCAAGUUCUGCAGAAGACCAAUGUCUGAAUACACAAUACAAUGAACCUUGAAGAAGACCGCACCGGAUGCCCCUUUUACCACACAGUUAGGUGUUUUCUGUACCUAAUAAAUUGACCAUUCAGUGUAAGUGUGUAUACCUAUGCAAUCUAGAGUAGAAGCUCCAUAGCAGAGUAUGUACAGUGUUUGCCACCAAUUGUUCUUUUAUUAAUUGUAUAAUAUUCAUGUAACACAUUUUCAAGAGACAUAAACACAGUGAUAUAUAUUUUUAAUUUUAAUUUAAUGACUGCAGUUGUGAAUGUGCUUCUCCCAGUAAUACAGUGUAGUCCAGUUCAACUGUUCACUGUUCAGUAAUAAACAAAAUAGUUCCACACAUGA